GUGAGGUAACGGCUCACCAAGGCAACGACGGGUAGCUGGUCUGAGAGGACGAUCAGCCACACUGGGACUGAGACACGGCCCAGACUCCUACGGGAGGCAGCGGCAGGGAAUUUUGCACAAUGGGCGCAAGCCUGAUGCAGCGACGCCGCGUGAGGGAUGAAGGCCUUCGGGUUGUAAACCUCUUUCAGGAGGGACGAAGCGCAAGUGACGGUACCUCCAGAAGAAGCCCCGGCCAACUACGUGCCAGCAGCCGCGGUAAUACGUAGGGGGCGAGCGUUGUCCGGAUUCAUUGGGCGUAAAGGGCUCGUAGGCGGCUCAGUAAGUCGGCCGUGAAAGCCCAGGGCUCAACCCUGGGAGGCCGGUCGAUACUGCUGUGGCUAGGGUCCGGUAGAGGAGAGUGGAAUUCCCGGUGUAGCGGUGAAAUGCGCAGAUAUCGGGAGGAACACCAGUAGCGAAGGCGGCUCUCUGGGCCGGUACCGACGCUGAGGAGCGAAAGCUAGGGGAGCAAGCAGGAUUAGAUACCCUGGUAGUCCUAGCCGUAAACGUUGGGCACUAGGUGUGGCGGAUUCAUUGACAUCUGCCGUGCCGUAGCUAACGCAUUAAGUG
Molecule: ribosomal RNA, 606 nt
Filed under: uncultured Actinomycetes bacterium
Lineage: Bacteria; Bacillati; Actinomycetota; Actinomycetes
Description: bacterial SSU rRNA
Rfam family: Bacterial small subunit ribosomal RNA
Source: RNAcentral